GAAUGGGAAAAUAAUGCAGAGUGCUUCCUGAGUGCACACAGUUCAGUGGGAAAUGCUGAAUGCUGGCUACUGGCAGACAUGAUCACGGGGGGUGGGGGGAGAAAAUGGUGACCGGCAGGAGGAGAGGUGGUCUUCAGUACACUUUGGCUGACUUCAAACAUGUGCCUUUUGGUGUGUUUUGUCAUUGCUACAAAAUGAAAAGGAAACAGAACAACUCAAGUCUUUAGAAAGACUUUUUAUUAAUCCCUGUGCAUACUUUAGAGACAAGGGAAAUCAGUGACUUGAAGCUGUUCUGAGCACACACUCCCGACUAGCCCUAGCCAGUUGACGCUGAAGCACUCCCUGUCUGUAGCACAGGGACAGGCCAUGGCGUGAGGACCAGCCCCCCUGCAGUCCCUGCUGGUGUCUCCCUGGGGAGGUUUCGGUGCACUGUGCACAUUAAGUACAAAUCAGAUGAAUGUAAAUAUCUCUUUGUAAAUCAUUUAUUUCACUCUGUUUCAUCCAGGUCAGCAAUCAGAUUGUGGCAUGCUGGGUAACUGGAAAAAAAUGAUAAUAAAAAGUAAGUUUAAAUAG
Molecule: long non-coding RNA, 573 nt
Filed under: Rattus norvegicus (Norway rat)
Lineage: Eukaryota; Metazoa; Chordata; Mammalia; Rodentia; Muridae
Description: long non-coding RNA NONRATT009015
Source: RNAcentral